This 237-nucleotide unclassified non-coding RNA is filed under the name Hevea brasiliensis (rubber tree). The record is from RNAcentral. Lineage: Eukaryota; Viridiplantae; Streptophyta; Magnoliopsida; Malpighiales; Euphorbiaceae.
UCUUUGACAAACUCCUUGUAGAGUUCACAGAGGCUCUGAGCACUAAGUACAUGAGCUCCAUCAUUUGGUUGUUUCUUGAAAUUGAGAUCAUAUUUUGCAUCUUUUGUCAAGAACUCAGAUGCUGCUACAUCCAUGCCAAUUUUAAUCUUGCCGGUGUAACCAGCCUUCUCAAUUGCAUCCAUAAGCAAUACUAGCCCUUCCCUGUUAUCCUGGACAUUUGGAGCGAAUCCACCUUCA